This 77-nucleotide transfer RNA is filed under the name Bacteroidota bacterium. RNAcentral describes it as "Bacteroidetes bacterium tRNA-Glu". It matches the Rfam family "tRNA". Rfam says of the family: Transfer RNA (tRNA) molecules are approximately 80 nucleotides in length. Their secondary structure includes four short double-helical elements and three loops (D, anti-codon, and T loops). Further hydrogen bonds mediate the characteristic L-shaped molecular structure. tRNAs have two regions of fundamental functional importance: the anti-codon, which is responsible for specific mRNA codon recognition, and the 3' end, to which the tRNAs corresponding amino acid is attached (by aminoacyl-tRNA synthetases). tRNAs cope with the degeneracy of the genetic code in two manners: having more than one tRNA (with a specific anti-codon) for a particular amino acid; and 'wobble' base-pairing, i.e. permitting non-standard base-pairing at the 3rd anti-codon position. The record is from RNAcentral. Lineage: Bacteria; Pseudomonadati; Bacteroidota.
GAUCCCUUAGUCCAAACAGGAAAGGAUAUCAGGCUUUCAACCUGAACACACGGGUUCGAGUCCCGUAGGGAUUACCA